RNAcentral lists this ribosomal RNA (252 nucleotides) under uncultured bacterium. RNAcentral's name for it is "partial 16S ribosomal RNA". It matches the Rfam family "Bacterial small subunit ribosomal RNA", at positions 524 to 776 of the family's 1533-position model. The record is from RNAcentral.
UACGUAGGGGCCGAGCGUUGUCCGGAGUUAUUGGGCGUAAAGCGCGCGCAGGCGGCCUCGCGCGCCCGACGUGAAAGCCCCCGGCUUAACCGGGGAGGGUCGUUGGGGACGGCGGGGCUUGAGGGCGGGAGAGGGUGGUGGAAUUCCCGGUGUAGUGGUGAAAUGCGUAGAUAUCUGGAGGAACACCGGUGGCGAAGGCGCAUCCUGGACCGGCAUUGACGCUGAGGCGCGAAAGCCAGGGGAGCAAACGGG